CUACGGGCGGCAGCAGGCACGAACUCUCUUCAAUGCGCGAAAGCGUGAAAGGGGAAUCCCCAGUGCUCAUACAUAGCGUAUGGGCUUUUGCCAAGUGUAAAGAGCUUGGCGAAUAAGUGGUGGGCAAGACUGGUGCCAGCCGCCGCGGUAACACCAGCGCCACAAGUGGAAAUCGGUAUUAUUGGGCCUAAAGCGUUCGUAGCCGGUCAGGUAAAUCUUUUGUGAAAUCGUCAUGCCUAACGUGACGGCGUGCAGAAGACACUGCUUGGCUUGGGACCGGGAGAGGUAUGGAGUAUUCGGCGGGGAGCGGUAAAAUGCUAUAAUCCGCCGAGGACUACCUGUGGCGAAGGCGCCAUACCAGAACGGAUCCGACGGUGAGGGACGAAAGCCAGGGGAGCGAAAAGGAUUAGAUACCCCGGUAGUC
RNAcentral lists this ribosomal RNA (424 nucleotides) under uncultured archaeon. RNAcentral's name for it is "partial 16S ribosomal RNA". It matches the Rfam family "Archaeal small subunit ribosomal RNA", at positions 323 to 746 of the family's 1478-position model. The record is from RNAcentral.